UCAUUAGAUACCCAGGUAGUCCACGCGGUAAACGAUGAAUGCUAGGUGUUGGCGGGAGCCGGUAAUACCCGAAGUCAGUAGUCCAACCCCGUGAGGACGCUGCCGAAGGUAGGAUUGGCGACUGGGGUGAAGUCGUAACAAGGUAUC
This 147-nucleotide ribosomal RNA is filed under the name uncultured bacterium. RNAcentral's name for it is "partial 16S ribosomal RNA". The record is from RNAcentral.